This 380-nucleotide ribosomal RNA is filed under the name Oligonema affine. RNAcentral's name for it is "Trichia affinis partial small subunit ribosomal RNA". It matches the Rfam family "Bacterial small subunit ribosomal RNA", at positions 558 to 930 of the family's 1533-position model. Lineage: Eukaryota; Evosea; Eumycetozoa; Trichiida; Trichiidae. The record is from RNAcentral.
GCGUAGGGUAAGUAGGUUGUGAAAAUAUGAGAAAAUAAAAUACUAGAUGAUCAUCUUUUAAGUUUUCUUAAAUUUUCACUGAAUCUUAGACGGGACGAUGGUAUUUUUAGGGAGUGGUUAAAUAUGAGAUAUAAAAAGGACGACAGUGGUGAAAGCAAUUUUCUUGUCAAGUAUUGAGCUAAUAUACGAAGGCAGGGGAGCAAAGAGGAUUAGACACCCUCGUAGUCCGUGUGUCAACGCUGAGUUUUCAAUGUAGGAACGUUUUUUUAUUAAUAAUUUUUAAACAUACAUUCUUGGUGUUUGAGUAACGCAUUAAAUUCUCCGCUGGGAAGUACGGCCGCAGGUUGAAACUCAAAAGAAUUGAGGUGACUUGUACAAGG